CUGAACUGUCGACACGAGUUGUUGCUGGUCCUCAAACGGGGGCAUGUGCACGCUCUGUUUACACAUCCACUCACACCUGUGCACCCUUAUGUAGUUCUAUGGUUUGGGGGACUCUGUCCUCCUGCCAUGGUUCUAUAUCUUUACACACACUCUGUAAUAAAGUCUUAUGGAAUGUAUACCGCGUUUAACGCAAUACAAUA
Molecule: unclassified non-coding RNA, 200 nt
Filed under: uncultured Tomentella
Lineage: Eukaryota; Fungi; Basidiomycota; Agaricomycetes; Thelephorales; Thelephoraceae
Description: sequence contains ITS1
Source: RNAcentral